RNAcentral lists this non-coding RNA (26 nucleotides) under Homo sapiens (human). The record is from RNAcentral. Lineage: Eukaryota; Metazoa; Chordata; Mammalia; Primates; Hominidae.
UAGCAGGCAUCCUGCAGCUCAGUGGU